Long non-coding RNA from Micropterus salmoides (largemouth bass), 476 nucleotides. RefSeq lists it as uncharacterized. The transcript is spliced from 3 exons. The record is from RefSeq and is a predicted model, not a curated record. NCBI's taxonomy places the organism in Eukaryota, Metazoa, Chordata, Actinopteri, Centrarchiformes, Centrarchidae.
GUUCUGCUUGCUGACACAGAGGAAGGCUUCUUGAACGACAGCGUCCUUCUUCAUUCCACACAGAGAGAUGAGAGGAGCAGCUAUGAGUUUAACUGCAGCAACAAGUGGAUUUGUCGUCUUCCUUCUCUCUGUGUCAGUGGUACAGAGCCAGAAUGACUGGGGAGUGACUUACACUUAUACUGAGAUCUGUGCCUUCAAAGGAUCAACAGUGGAAAUAAGCUGCACCUACAGAUACCCAACCACAAACAAUUACCAUUAUACAGUUGAGAAAACAUUCUGGUUUAAAGGUGAUGAAAUUGUGGAUCUGAAAACAAAGUCAGAGUAUUCAGGUCGUGUGGAGUAUAACUGUCAUAUGAACCGCUGCUCUCUGAGAAUCACAGACCUGAGAGAGAGCGACUCAGCUGAGUACAAGUUCAGGUUCAUAACAAACCAAGAACUUGGGAAAUAUACUGGUUCACCUGGAGUCACUCUGUCUG